AGAGUUUGAUCAUGGCUCAGAUUGAACGCUGGCGGCAGGCCUAACACAUGCAAGUCGAACGGUAACAGGAAGCAGCUUGCUGCUUUGCUGACGAGUGGCGGACGGGUGAGUAAUGUCUGGGAAACUGCCUGAUGGAGGGGGAUAACUACUGGAAACGGUAGCUAAUACCGCAUAACGUCGCAAGACCAAAGAGGGGGACCUUCGGGCCUCUUGCCAUCGGAUGUGCCCAGAUGGGAUUAGCUUGUUGGUGGGGUAACGGCUCACCAAGGCGACGAUCCCUAGCUGGUCUGAGAGGAUGACCAGCCACACUGGAACUGAGACACGGUCCAGACUCCUACGGGAGGCAGCAGUGGGGAAUAUUGCACAAUGGGCGCAAGCCUGAUGCAGCCAUGCCGCGUGUAUGAAGAAGGCCUUCGGGUUGUAAAGUACUUUCAGCGGGGAGGAAGGGAGUAAAGUUAAUACCUUUACUCAUUGACGUUACCCGCAGAAGAAGCACCGGCUAACUCCGUGCCAGCAGCCGCGGUAAUACGGAGGGUGCAAGCGUUAAUCGGAAUUACUGGGCGUAAAGCGCACGCAGGCGGUUUGUUAAGUCAGAUGUGAAAUCCCCGGGCUCAACCUGGGAACUGCAUCUGAUACUGGCAAGCUUGAGUCUCGUAGAGGGGGGUAGAAUUCCAGGUGUAGCGGUGAAAUGCGUAGAGAUCUGGAGGAAUACCGGUGGCGAAGGCGGCCCCCUGGACGAAGACUGACGCUCAGGUGCGAAAGCGUGGGGAGCAAACAGGAUUAGAUACCCUGGUAGUCCACGCCGUAAACGAUGUCGACUUGGAGGUUGUGCCCUUGAGGCGUGGCUUCCGGAGCUAACGCGUUAAGUCGACCGCCUGGGGAGUACGGCCGCAAGGUUAAAACUCAAAUGAAUUGACGGGGGCCCGCACAAGCGGUGGAGCAUGUGGUUUAAUUCGAUGCAACGCGAAGAACCUUACCUGGUCUUGACAUCCACGGAAGUUUUCAGAGAUGAGAAUGUGCCUUCGGGAACCGUGAGACAGGUGCUGCAUGGCUGUCGUCAGCUCGUGUUGUGAAAUGUUGGGUUAAGUCCCGCAACGAGCGCAACCCUUAUCCUUUGUUGCCAGCGGUCCGGCCGGGAACUCAAAGGAGACUGCCAGUGAUAAACUGGAGGAAGGUGGGGAUGACGUCAAGUCAUCAUGGCCCUUACGACCAGGGCUACACACGUGCUACAAUGGCGCAUACAAAGAGAAGCGACCUCGCGAGAGCAAGCGGACCUCAUAAAGUGCGUCGUAGUCCGGAUUGGAGUCUGCAACUCGACUCCAUGAAGUCGGAAUCGCUAGUAAUCGUGGAUCAGAAUGCCACGGUGAAUACGUUCCCGGGCCUUGUACACACCGCCCGUCACACCAUGGGAGUGGGUUGCAAAAGAAGUAGGUAGCUUAACCUUCGGGAGGGCGCUUACCACUUUGUGAUUCAUGACUGGGGUGAAGUCGUAACAAGGUAACCGUAGGGGAACCUGCGGUUGGAUCACCU
Molecule: ribosomal RNA, 1530 nt
Filed under: Escherichia coli
Lineage: Bacteria; Pseudomonadati; Pseudomonadota; Gammaproteobacteria; Enterobacterales; Enterobacteriaceae
Also listed under: 3 other names
Description: bacterial SSU rRNA
Rfam family: Bacterial small subunit ribosomal RNA
Source: RNAcentral